Molecule: microRNA precursor, 187 nt
Organism: Oryza sativa Indica Group (long-grained rice)
Lineage: Eukaryota; Viridiplantae; Streptophyta; Magnoliopsida; Poales; Poaceae
Rfam family: MIR812 microRNA precursor family
Source: Rfam
GUUGAGUACUUCACUCGUUUCAAAACAAACGUUUGACCGUUCAUUUUAUUUAAAAAAAAUUAUGAUUAUUUUUUUAUUAUUAGAUGGUAAAAUAUAAAUAGUAUUUUAUGUGUGACUAUUUUUUAAAUUUUUUUAAAUAAAAUAAACGGUUAAACGUUGAACACGAAUACUUACGACAUCACUUAUU